GGAGUUAGCCGGUGCUUCUUCUGUGAGUGAUGUCCUUCCUGCCGGCUAUUAACCCGCAGGCCUUCUUCCUCACUGAAAGUGCUUUACAACCCGAAGGCCUUCUUCACACACGCGGCAUGGCUGGAUCAGGGUUGCCCCCAUUGUCCAAUAUUCCCCACUGCUGCCUCCCGUAGGAGUCUGGGCCGUGUCUCAGUCCCAGUGUGGCUGAUCAUCCUCUCAGACCAGCUACGGAUCGUCGCCUUGGUGAGCCGUUACCUCACCAACCAUCUAAUCCGACAUAGGCUCAUCCGAUAGCGCGAGGCCCGAAGGUCCCCCGCUUUCCCCCGUAGGGCGUAUGCGGUAUUAGCCUGGGUUUCCCCAGGUUAUCCCCCACUACCGGGCAGAUUCCUAUGCAUUACUCACCCGUCCGCCGCUCGCCACCAGGGAGCAAGCUCCCCGUGCUGCCGCUCGACUUGCAUGUGUUAGGCCUGCCGCCAGCGUUCAAUCUGAGCCAGAAUCGAACCCUGA
This 507-nucleotide ribosomal RNA is filed under the name uncultured bacterium. RNAcentral's name for it is "partial 16S ribosomal RNA". The record is from RNAcentral.